AUUGAACUCUGGCGGAAGGCUUAACACAUGCAAGUCGAACGAGUGGCGGACGGGUGAGUAGUGUCUGGGAAACUGCCCGAGGGUGGUGUAUAACUCCUGGAAACGGUCGCUAUUACAGCAUACCAACGGAUGUGCCCAGAUGGGAUUAGCUAGUAGGUGGGGUAACGGCUCACCUAGGCGCCGAUCCCUAGCUGGUCUGAGAUGAUGACCAGCCACACUUGAACUGAGACACGGUCCAGACUCCUACGGGAGGCAGCAGUGGGGAAUAUUGCACAAUGGGCGCAAGCCUGAUGCAGCCAUGCCGCGUGUAUGAAGAAGGCCUUCGGGUUGUAAAGUACUUUCAGCGAGGAGGCGUUACUCGCAGAAGAAGCACCGGCUAACUCCGUGCCAGCAGCCGCGGUAAUAC
Molecule: ribosomal RNA, 406 nt
Filed under: uncultured bacterium
Lineage: Bacteria
Description: partial 16S ribosomal RNA
Rfam family: Bacterial small subunit ribosomal RNA
Source: RNAcentral